RNAcentral lists this ribosomal RNA (541 nucleotides) under uncultured Bacteroidota bacterium. RNAcentral's name for it is "bacterial SSU rRNA". It matches the Rfam family "Bacterial small subunit ribosomal RNA", at positions 173 to 715 of the family's 1533-position model. Lineage: Bacteria; Pseudomonadati; Bacteroidota. The record is from RNAcentral.
AUCAUGAGUUCACAUGUCCGCAUGAUUAAAGGUAUUUUCCGGUAGACGAUGGGGAUGCGUUCCAUUAGAUAGUAGGCGGGGUAACGGCCCACCUAGUCAACGAUGGAUAGGGGUUCUGAGAGGAAAGUCCCCCACAUUGGAACUGAGACACGGUCCAAACUCCUACGGGAGGCAGCAGUGAGGAAUAUUGGUCAAUGGGCGAUGGCCUGAACCAGCCAAGUAGCGUGAAGGAUGACUGCCCUAUGGGUUGUAAACUUCUUUUAUAAAGGAAUAAAGUCGGGUAUGCAUACCCGUUUGCAUGUACUUUAUGAAUAAGGAUCGGCUAACUCCGUGCCAGCAGCCGCGGUGAUACGGAGGAUCCGAGCGUUAUCCGGAUUUAUUGGGUUUAAAGGGAGCGUAGAUGGAUGUUUAAGUCAGUUGUGAAAGUUUGCGGCUCAACCGUAAAAUUGCAGUUGAUACUGGAUGUCUUGAGUGCAGUUGAGGCAGGCGGAAUUCGUGGUGUAGCGGUGAAAUGCUUAGGUAUCACGAAGAACUCCGAUUG